This 1879-nucleotide long non-coding RNA is filed under the name Vitis vinifera (wine grape). Its description in RNAcentral is "long non-coding RNA (VVIN_LNC001902)". Lineage: Eukaryota; Viridiplantae; Streptophyta; Magnoliopsida; Vitales; Vitaceae. The record is from RNAcentral.
GCAUCCUAUGACCUACAAUCACAUGAUUUCCAAACUUAGUGCAUCCAUUGCCAAGAAAGAUGACGAUCAUAUCACCUUUUGUAAUAAUUCAAUGCCUCUUUUUGUAAAGCCAUAUCAUAAAUAUAAUGAAAUUAAAAGACAAAUUAAUCAAUCAAAUAACAAAAAUUUGAAAUUUACAUGGCAGUAGGUGAGGAAGUUGUUCAGUUAAGAAUGAAGAGAGACCACACCCGGGAAAUAUUAUUGAGGGCAUAGAUGUUGACUUCCCAUAUUCACACCUAAUUAAAAAGGUGAUUAAGAAAAUAAACAAAAACAACCCAAAAACAGUGAAAGAUAUAUUGCUACGAAAGAUUGUUCAAAAUGAUCCCAAGUUAUAAAAAUGAACUCUUUCAUUAAGAUAACCUUUUUGAAUACUCUUAUCCUUUUUUUUUUGUUUGCCUUCAAAAUUAUAAUAUUUCCUUUAUUUAUGUUAUUUUAUUUACUUUAUCAUAUUUUUUCUAAUUUUUCAUUUAUUUCUUCUACUUACUUUUUCUCGUCUAUGAAGUCUCAUUAUAACUUCAUCUUUCACUUAAUCUCUCUCUUACCCCAUAAUUUCAUCUUUAGUUUAGUCAUGUCUUAUGAAGCUAAUUGCAUUUCCCUCCCUAGCUUACUCUCUAAGUUGUUAGUAAUCCUCGAUCUCAAUUCUUUCUCGUAGUCCAUUUUUAUUUUCAUUCAAGGUGUUCAUUAAAAUCACACAAGGGCUAAAUUCAAAUUAUAAGAGUUAAUUUCAAUUACAUUCCCUCAAGUUUUGGCUUAGAUACACCUUACUUCAACCGAUUUAAAAUUUCAUCAAUUAUCUCCCUUAUUUUAAGUGAAAAGGGCGGUGAGUAAAAUUAAUAAAUGAAAAGGUAAGAGAUGUAUUUGAUGAAAUUUCAAAUCAAUGAGCGAAAGUGUAUUUAGCUGAAACAUCAUGGAAAAUGAAUUAAAUUAACUUUAUACAAAACUUAACUGAGAUCUCAAACUUCAUAUCUUAUCACAGUCAAUUGAACUUAUCUUGAUGAGUUUGAAGUCUCAAAAUUGUUUUGAGAUCCCUACCUAGAAAUAAUUGCUAAGGCCCUUAAUUUUUUGAUUAAAAUGUCUGUGAGCUUGAUUGAGAUCAAUUUGGAUUACUUUUAGAGAUUCUAGGGGGAUUUAGAAGAAUAUAUGAAGGAAAAAACUUAGGGAAGAUGAAAAGUGCUAGUUAGAGCAGCCUUCUAUUGCACCAGAAGAAGUGGGCGCACCCUUCUACUAUGCCAAAAGGACUUGACGCAUCUGUAUAAGUACGCUAGGAAGGAAAAUAAAGCAACAAGCCGGCCUUUGACAUGAGAGAUGGAGAACCCUCUCCCAGACUUAACUGGCGCACCUUUUAAGUGCGCCAAGGAAAAGAAAGAGUUGUGGCUCAACCCCAUCAAGGAUUGAUAGGCAUUCUCUGCCCACUAAAGAUUAAAUGUGUUAGCACAUCUCUUAUCUCCCUCCAUGAAUAAAUGGUGCAUUUAAUUAUACAUACACUGUAAGCAUUGGGCUGCCUAUCCGAUGGUGCAAUUCAAAAGCUGUGGCACACUUGGUCAACGUAUGAGAUGCUUCCUCAUGCAUCCAACAAUCUUGCAUGGGUGGGGCACACCCAACCUAAGUGUUCUCGAAGUUUGGAUGGUGUUGGAGCUGUUCUCUCCAAACUUCCAGCUUCUUCUUGUCUCACGUUCACCUGCAAUGCAAGGUUUACCCGGUGAAGCCCUGGGCAGACCCCUCCGAUAGUUAAGUCUGUUGGAGUGUGAUAAGCCAACUUCUUUUUAAUUUUUCUUCUUAGCUGUGUUCUUAUACAUCUCUUCACUUACCGCCGGGACCGGAGAUAAUGGGGGCAUUUUCA